Molecule: ribosomal RNA, 555 nt
Filed under: Penicillium griseofulvum
Lineage: Eukaryota; Fungi; Ascomycota; Eurotiomycetes; Eurotiales; Aspergillaceae
Description: eukaryotic LSU rRNA
Rfam family: 5.8S ribosomal RNA (bases 173-326)
Source: RNAcentral
UUCCGUAGGGUGAACCUGCGGAAGGAUCAUUACCGAGUGCGGGCCCCUCGGGGCCCAACCUCCCACCCGUGUUGCCCGAACCUAUGUUGCCUCGGCGGGCCCCGCGCCCGCCGACGGCCCCCCUGAACGCUGUCUGAAGUUGCAGUCUGAGACCUAUAACGAAAUUAGUUAAAACUUUCAACAACGGAUCUCUUGGUUCCGGCAUCGAUGAAGAACGCAGCGAAAUGCGAUAACUAAUGUGAAUUGCAGAAUUCAGUGAAUCAUCGAGUCUUUGAACGCACAUUGCGCCCUCUGGUAUUCCGGAGGGCAUGCCUGUCCGAGCGUCAUUGCUGCCCUCAAGCCCGGCUUGUGUGUUGGGCCCCGUCCCCCCCGCCGGGGGGACGGGCCCGAAAGGCAGCGGCGGCACCGCGUCCGGUCCUCGAGCGUAUGGGGCUUCGUCACCCGCUCUAGUAGGCCCGGCCGGCGCCAGCCGACCCCCAACCUUUAAUUAUCUCAGGUUGACCUCGGAUCAGGUAGGUCUACCCGCUGAACUUAAGCAUAUCAAUAAGCGGAGGA